This 439-nucleotide ribosomal RNA is filed under the name uncultured bacterium. RNAcentral's name for it is "partial 16S ribosomal RNA". It matches the Rfam family "Bacterial small subunit ribosomal RNA", at positions 339 to 795 of the family's 1533-position model. The record is from RNAcentral.
CUACGGGCCGCUCCAGUGGGGAAUAUUGCACAAUGGGGGAAACCCUGAUGCAGCGACGCCGCGUGAGUGAAGAAGUAUUUCGGUAUGUAAAGCUCUAUCAGCAGGGAAGAUAAUGACAGUACCUGACUAAGAAGCCCCGGCUAACUACGUGCCAGCAGCCGCGGUAAUACGUAGGGGGCAAGCGUUAUCCGGAUUUACUGGGUGUAAAGGGAGCGCAGGUGGUUCGGCAAGUCAGAUGUGAAAGCCCGGGGCUCAACCCCGGGACUGCAUUUGAAACUGUCGGACUAGAGUGCAGGAGAGGUAAGUGGAAUUCCUAGUGUAGCGGUGAAAUGCGUAGAUAUUAGGAGGAACACCAGUGGCGAAGGCGACUUACUGGACUGUAACUGACACUGAGGCUCGAAAGCGUGGGGAGCAAACAGGAUUAGAUACCCCUGUAGUC